GACGAACGCUGGCGGCGUGCCUAACACAUGCAAGUCAAGGGCUACCCUCGGGUAGCACUGGCGCACGGGUGAGUAACGCGUGGGUAAUCUGCCCCUAUCUCUGACAUAACAUCGAGAAAUCGGUGCUAAUAUCAGAUGAGGCCCGCAAGGGUCAAAGACCGCGAGGUUGGAUAGGGAUGAGCCUGCGUCCGAUUAGCUAGUUGGUAGGGUAAUGGCCUACCAAGGCGACGAUCGGUAGCUGGUCUGAGAGGAUGGUCAGCCACACUGGAACUGAGACACGGUCCAGACUCCUACGGGAGGCAGCAGUGAGGAAUAUUGCGCAAUGGGCGAAAGCCUGACGCAGCGACGCCGCGUGUGGGAUGAAGGAGCUUUGCUUCGUAAACCACUGUCGGACGGGAAGAAAAAGUUCCUACGGGGGCUUGGGACAGUACCGUCAGAGGAAGCACCGGCUAACUACGUGCCAGCAGCCGCGGUAAUACGUAGGGUGCGAGCGUUGUCCGGAAUUACUGGGUGUAAAGGGUGCGUAGGCGGGCAUGUGCGUCGGAGGUUAAAUACAGCGGCUUAACCGUUGAACUGCCUUCGAAACGGCAUGUCUUGAAUGUGGGAGAGGAUGAUGGAAUUCCUGGUGUAGCGGUGAAAUGCGUAGAUAUCAGGAGGAACACCGGUGGCGAAGGCGGUCAUCUGGCCCACUAUUGACGCUGAGGCACGAAAGCGUGGGGAGCAAACAGGAUUAGAUACCCUGGUAGUCCACGCCCUAAACGAUGUAUGCUUGGUGUUGGUUGCGAAAGCAAUCAGUGCCGGAGGUAACCCGUUAAGCAUACCACCUGGGGAGUACGAUCGCAAGGUUGA
This 849-nucleotide ribosomal RNA is filed under the name uncultured bacterium. RNAcentral describes it as "bacterial SSU rRNA". It matches the Rfam family "Bacterial small subunit ribosomal RNA", at positions 28 to 897 of the family's 1533-position model. The record is from RNAcentral.